Molecule: long non-coding RNA, 540 nt
Organism: Poecile atricapillus (Black-capped chickadee)
Lineage: Eukaryota; Metazoa; Chordata; Aves; Passeriformes; Paridae
Exons: 3
Source: RefSeq, a predicted model, not a curated record
CGUCCUCGCCAACCGACCGGCACAGCUGCUUCACCGCUCCCGUGAGCCCUGCGGAAGCGUUAUGGAACCGUGUGACGGAGCCUUUUCCACGUAAAGGGGCCGUGUGGGUGGCCUUCAGGAAGGGGCCGAGGGGUUGCCGCGCGCCCUGCGACGACGGCGUCUGGCUCCCGGCGUGGCCGAAGCGCGCGGCCUCAGGACGUGGCCGUUCACAGGAGACCCUGACCGAGAGACGGCAGCCUGGCGAUGGCAGGAACUUCCCAGAUGGCGAGGCGGCCUUCCUUGGCGCCCCAUGUGGAUCCUCCCCGCCGGGCGUCUGAGAGCUAAGUCGACGGCUACGACCCACAGAGGGGACGAAAGCGGAGUGCCAGGUCCGGACUUGUGACCUGGGAUUUUUGAGUCAGCUUUGGGGAUGGGGAGGUCCAGGCUGUGGCCCCUUAGGCCUCAUGAAGGGAGAGCCUCGUUUUUGCUCACAGUGCUGAGGUGUGCAGGACAGAGCAGUCCCGGGGUGUGUCAUGUCACUUGUCCAUCGUGCUGUCUGUG